RNAcentral lists this long non-coding RNA (429 nucleotides) under Heterocephalus glaber (naked mole-rat). RNAcentral's name for it is "lncRNA (ENSHGLG00000045882.1)". The record is from RNAcentral. Lineage: Eukaryota; Metazoa; Chordata; Mammalia; Rodentia; Bathyergidae.
CCAAUCCGUCCCUUUGGUUUUUACAGAUGAUGGCACUGUCCCUUGCCAAAGACUGUUCCAGCCACUAGAAACCAGGAACCCAACCAGAUGCACUAAAGCCCCUGCCCCGGGGGAGCCUGCAGUCCAACAGCAACCACCAAAGGAGCAAGUUAAGCUGCCUAAGGAAAUUUGUCUGAGGAUGAAGCCAGCAACUGAAAACAAAUUAGAGAUGGAGGGACCGAGUCCGGGAUGUUGCUUGAGCCCUGUGUGCAGGACUGCGGAAGCCAGCUCUAGCCCCUUUGCAAGUCUUGCUUAUUGACUCUUGCUCUUAUGCCAGGGUGAGUUUGGGUGGGAUUUCCACCCAAAGAAACCUUAAAGGACUGUGGCCUGCUGAAUGCCAGCUGGAGACAGGUUUUGUUGGUCCACACAGGAUUAAAAUUUUGAGGCAAC